UUUAAUUGAAGAGUUUGAUCAUGGCUCAGAUUGAACGCUGGCGGCAGGCUUAACACAUGCAAGUCGAGCGGCAGCACAGAGGAACUUGUUCCUUGGGUGGCGAGCGGCGGACGGGUGAGUAAUGCCUGGGAAAUUGCC
This 138-nucleotide ribosomal RNA is filed under the name Vibrio cholerae. Its description in RNAcentral is "partial 16S ribosomal RNA". It matches the Rfam family "Bacterial small subunit ribosomal RNA", at positions 1 to 130 of the family's 1533-position model. The record is from RNAcentral. Lineage: Bacteria; Pseudomonadati; Pseudomonadota; Gammaproteobacteria; Vibrionales; Vibrionaceae.